RNAcentral lists this ribosomal RNA (545 nucleotides) under uncultured bacterium. RNAcentral describes it as "bacterial SSU rRNA". It matches the Rfam family "Bacterial small subunit ribosomal RNA", at positions 777 to 1334 of the family's 1533-position model. The record is from RNAcentral.
AAUAGAUACCCUGGUAGUCCACGCCGUAAACGAUGGAUGCUAGCUGUUAUGAGUAUCGACCCUUGUAGUAGCGAAGCUAACGCGUUAAGCAUCCCGCCUGUGGAGUACGAGCGCAAGCUUAAAACAUAAAGGAAUUGACGGGGACCCGCACAAGCGGUGGAGCGUGUUGUUUAAUUCGAUGAUAAGCGAAGAACCUUACCAAGGCUUGACAUCCCUGGAAGGUCUCCGAAAGGAGACUGUGCCUUCGGGAAUCAGGUGACAGGUGAUGCAUGGCCGUCGUCAGCUCGUGUCGUGAGAUGUUUGGUUAAGUCCAUCAACGAGCGCAACCCUUAUAAAUAGUUGAAUUUUUCUAUUUAGACUGCCUCGGUAACGGGGAGGAAGGAGGGGAUGACGUCAGGUCAGUAUUUCCCUUAUGCCUUGGGCUACAAACACGCUACAAUGGCCGGUACAAAGGGCAGCCAACCCGGCGAGGGGGAGCAAAUCCCAUCAAAACCGGUCCCAGUUCGGAUAGCAGGCUGAAACUCGCCUGCUUGAAGUCGGAAUCG